This 491-nucleotide ribosomal RNA is filed under the name uncultured bacterium. RNAcentral describes it as "partial 16S ribosomal RNA". It matches the Rfam family "Bacterial small subunit ribosomal RNA", at positions 29 to 507 of the family's 1533-position model. The record is from RNAcentral.
GUGAACGCUGGCGGUCGGCCUAACUCAUGCCAGUCGAACGGCAGCACAGUAAGAGCUUGCUCUUACGGGUGGCGAGUGGCGGACUGGUGAGGAAUACAUUGGAAUCUACUUUUUCGUGGGGGAUAACGUAGGGAAACUUACGCUAAUACCGCAUACGAUCUACGGGUGAAAGCAGGGGAUCUUCGGACCUUUCGCGAUUGAAUGAGCCGAUGUCGGAUUAGCUAGUUGGCGGGGUAAAGGCCCACCAAGGCGACGAUCCGUAGCUGGUCUGAGAGGAUGAUCAGCCACACUGGAACUGAGACACGGUCCAGACUCCUACGGGAGGCAGCAGUGGGGAAUAUUGGACAAUGGGCGCAAGCCUGAUCCAGCCAUACCGCGUGGGUGAAGAAGGCCUUCGGGUUGUAAAGCCCUUUUGUUGGGAAAGAAAAGCAGCAGGUGAAUACCCCGCUGUUCUGACGGUACCCAAAGAAUAAGCACCGGCUAACUUCGUG